Molecule: ribosomal RNA, 697 nt
Filed under: Kocuria sp. GWS-BW-H158
Lineage: Bacteria; Bacillati; Actinomycetota; Actinomycetes; Micrococcales; Micrococcaceae
Description: bacterial SSU rRNA
Rfam family: Bacterial small subunit ribosomal RNA
Source: RNAcentral
GCUCAGGACGAACGCUGGCGGCGUGCUUAACACAUGCAAGUCGAACGAUGAUGCCCAGCUUGCUGGGCGGAUUAGUGGCGAACGGGUGAGUAAUACGUGAGUAACCUGCCCUUGACUCUGGGAUAAGCCUGGGANDDUGGGUCUAAUACUGGAUACUACCUCUUACCGCAUGGUGGGUGGUGGAAAGGGUUUUACUGGUUUUGGAUGGGCUCACGGCCUAUCAGCUUGUUGGUGGGGUAAUGGCUCACCAAGGCGACGACGGGUAGCCGGCCUGAGAGGGUGACCGGCCACACUGGGACUGAGACACGGCCCAGACUCCUACGGGAGGCAGCAGUGGGGAAUAUUGCACAAUGGGCGGAAGCCUGAUGCAGCGACGCCGCGUGAGGGAUGACGGCCUUCGGGUUGUAAACCUCUUUCAGUAGGGAAGAAGCGAGAGUGACGGUACCUGCAGAAGAAGCGCCGGCUAACUACGUGCCAGCAGCCGCGGUAAUACGUAGGGCGCAAGCGUUGUCCGGAAUUAUUGGGCGUAAAGAGCUCGUAGGCGGUUUGUCGCGUCUGCUGUGAAAGCCGGGGCUCAACCCCGGGUCUGCAGUGGGUACGGGCAGACUAGAGUGCAGUAGGGGAGACUGGAAUUCCUGGUGUAGCGGUGAAAUGCGCAGAUAUCAGGAGGAACACCGAUGGCGAAGGCAGGUCUCUG